Molecule: ribosomal RNA, 253 nt
Filed under: uncultured bacterium
Lineage: Bacteria
Description: partial 16S ribosomal RNA
Rfam family: Bacterial small subunit ribosomal RNA
Source: RNAcentral
UACGUAGGGUGCGAGCGUUGUCCGGAAUUAUUGGGCGUAAAGGGCUCGUAGGCGGUUUGUCGCGUCGGGAGUGAAAUCCACUGGCUUAACUGGUGGCUUGCUUUCGAUACGGGCAGACUGGAGGUAUGCAGGGGAGAACGGAAUUCCUGGUGUAGCGGUGAAAUGCGCAGAUAUCAGAAGGAACGCCGGUGGCGAAAGCGGCGGACUGGACCUCUUCUGACGCUGAGGCGCGAAAGCUAGGGGAGCAAACAGG